GAUGAACGCUGGCGGCGUGCCUAAUACAUGCAAGUCAACCAAAAGGCCGGGAGUCUGCCUCCUUGAACUUAGAGGGGGAACGGGUAAUAAAAACUAAGUUACCCUACCUUUAGAACGGGUAAAACUUCGGGAAACCGAACCUAUACCCGAAUAAUUUUUCAACCGCCUUGUUUGGUUAGGAAAGGUGGCCUUUCCUACCCCUAAAGAAUGACCCUGCGCGGUUUGAGCUAGUUGUUAAGGUAACGGCUUACCAAGGCAAGGAUACGUAGCCGACCGGAGAGGGUGAUCGGCCACACUGGAACUGAGACACGGUCCAGACUCCUACGGGCGGCAGCAGUAGGGAAUCUUCCGCAAUGGGCGAAAGCCUGACGGAGCAACGCCGCGUGAGUGAUGAAGGUCUUCUGAUCGUAAAACUCUGUUAUUAGGGAAGAACAAACGUGUAAGUAACUGUGCACGUCUUGACGGUACCUAAUCAGAAAGCCACGGCUAACUACGUG
This 497-nucleotide ribosomal RNA is filed under the name uncultured bacterium. RNAcentral describes it as "partial 16S ribosomal RNA". It matches the Rfam family "Bacterial small subunit ribosomal RNA", at positions 28 to 507 of the family's 1533-position model. The record is from RNAcentral.